RNAcentral lists this long non-coding RNA (4643 nucleotides) under Nicotiana tabacum (common tobacco). RNAcentral describes it as "long non-coding RNA (NTAB_LNC000303)". Lineage: Eukaryota; Viridiplantae; Streptophyta; Magnoliopsida; Solanales; Solanaceae. The record is from RNAcentral.
CUCACAUCAGUCGAUUCCUUUCUUCAUAUUAUUGUUCUUAAUCUCCCAGAACCUCAAAUUUUCAAAUGGGAUCAACUUCAGAUGUCUCCUCUACAAACACCACAAACACUAACACUGUCCCUAACCACAACCACCCUUAUUUUCUUCAUACUUCAGAUUCACCAGGCAUGAAUCUGGUGAACUCAUGCUUUGAUGGAAAUGGAUAUGGGGGCUGGAGAAAAUUUAUUUUGAUUGCACUCUCAGUAAAGAACAAAGUGGGAUUUAUUGAUGGAACCCACAGUGAACCAGUACAUGGAUCUCCUGACUUAAAGUUGUGGAGCAGAUGUAAUGAUAUGGUGAUAUCAUGGCUCCUCAACUCACUGUCCAAGGAAAUAGCAAGCAGUGUUAUUUAUGCCAAAAUAGCAAGAGAUCUAUGGAAAGAGUUUGAAGACAAAUUUGGGCAAUCAAAUGGAUACCACCUGCAAAAAAAGCUUAAUGAUUUAGUGCAGGGGUAAAACGACAUAGCAGGUUACUUCACAAAGAUAAAAGGGUUGUGAGAUGAGCUUGAUGCUCUCAACACAAAUGUUCAUGUUCAUGCGCACUGUGGUGGGAAGGCAAAAAUGAACAAGUCACUUCAAGAUGAGAGACUUAUUCAAUUUCUCAUGGGUUUAAAUGAUACAUAUGCUGUUGUCAAGAGUAGCAUACUUAUGAUAACACCUUUGCCAACUGUUAAUCAUGCAUACUCACUAUUGAUGCGGGAUGAAAAGGAAAGAGAAUUCUUUGUAAGCUCAUAAGUCCCUGGGGAUUCUUCCUCUUUCUUAGCUGCAAAUCAAAACAUUUUGGGUCAGAAAAAGUGGAAACUAUGAACUCGAGGGAAAGAAGAACAAUCUAGUGUGUUCUCACUAUAAGAAAGUAGGGCAUUCAGUGGACAAAUGCAACAGGAUAAUAGGACUUCCAGCUGACUUCAAGUUUACUAAACUCAAGAGGUUUCAAGGAAAUACAAGGAGUAAUGCAGUUUUUUCUACUAAGGGAGAACAAGGACACGUUUCUUACCAUUUUGAUGGUGGCCAUACAACUUGUCAGUUGACUCAAGAUCAAUAUACACAGCUUAUCCAUCUAUUUCAACAAUCUAAGAUGAACUAUACUGAAACCUCAGGAUCUGAGGCUGCAGCAAAUGUUGUGAACUGUGCUGGUAACACCUUGAACAAAUCAUUUUGCACACUAAUUUUUUCAAACAGAAAACUUGAAUAUUGGAUUCAGGGGUAACAGACACACAUGUGUUAUGAUUCAAAGACUUUCUUAGAUUUGAGUCCUCUUCCUUCUCCUAUCUUUGUUAAUCUUCCUAAUUCAUAUAGAUUAAAGGUAACACAUGUUGGUAGUGUUAACAUUCACCCAGAAAUUACUUUAAAAAAUGUUCUACUGGUGCCUUCUUUCACGCUUAAGCUAAUUUCAGUCCAUAAGUUAUGCAAACAACUAACUUGUCUUCUAAUUUUCUCUUUAACUGGAUAUUUCUUGCAGGUCCCUUCAAUGAAGAGGCCUCUGGAGUUUGGUGAAGCUAGAUCAGGGCUUUAUCUUUUGGAGUCACUUUUUCAACCUUCCAAGAAGUUUUUUACAAAUANNNNNNNNNNNNNNNNNNNNAAAUAAUAUAGUUUCUUUGUCUAGUCAGAAGAAAGCUAGUUGUUUUUCAAUUUGUAGUUUUGUUUCUAUUCCUGUAAAGAACAGUUCUGAUGUAAGGCUAUGACACCUCAGAUUCGGCCAUAUACCAUUUCCAGCAAUGAAAAAUAUUUAUUCAAGUCAAUUGAGUCCUUUUCAUUUUAAUUUCACUUGCAAUAUUUGUCCAUUAGCAAGACAAUCAAUGCUUUUUCUUUCCAAUGAAAUCAAAUCUAAGAAUGUCCUAGAAUUAAUACACAUUGAUACUUGGGGACCAUACAAGAUUGCUACACAUGAUGGAUAUAAGCAUUUCUUAACUAUCAUUGAUGAUUAUAGGGGAACCUGGACUUACCUUCUAAAGACUAAAAGUAAUACAUUUUUUAUUCUAAAAUAUUUUUUGAGUAUGGCAGAAAGGCAAUUCAAUGUGAAGGUAAAGAUUGUGAGAUCAGAUAAUGCUCUAGAGUUGGGAAGCAGUAAAGAUUCAUCUGAUUUCUUUGUUUCACAAGGAAUAAUUCAUCAAACCUCAUGUGUUCAUACUCCACAACAAAAUGGAGUUGUGGAGAGAAAACAUAGGCAUCUCUUGGAAGUUAGCAGAGCUCUAUUGCAUCAAUCUAGAGUACCCAUAAGAUAUUGGGGAGAAUGUCUUCUUACAACUACUUUCUUGAUUAAUAGAUAUCCAUCCAGAAUUUUAAGGAACAAAACAUCUUAUGAGUUCUUAUUUGGACAUGCACCCUAUUAUUCUUUCCUAAGAAGUUUUGGUUAUAUAUGUUAUGCCAACACAAGUGCAAAUAACAUUGGGAAGUUUGAGCCUAGAGCAAGUGCUUGUGUAUUUAUGGGUUAUCCUUAUGGAAAGAAAGGAUACACGUUUCUAGACUUACAAAGAAAGAAAAUAUUUAUUUCAAGGGAUGUGAAAUUUUAUGAAGAUAUCUGUACUUUCUCUACUUAUUCUUCUGAUCCUAAUCAGUUUUCUUCAACUCCUAUUUUCAGUCUAAGUGAUUCAUAAGAUAUGACUGAACCCCCUAAAUUUGACAAAGUUAGUGAUUCACAACUAAGUUUGUCACCUCAAAGACAGUCUAGUCCUAUUUCCAGGCCAAGAAAGUCACCAAACAACUCAUCAGCCUUGCUUGAUUCUCCUGUUUUCUCUGAUGACUCAUCACCUUCACCUGCAUUUCCUUUUUUUUUUCCUGAUCCUGUCACAACAACAUAUUUAAGAAGAUCAUAAGGGCCUCACAACAAGCCAGGAUAUUUGAAAGAUUAUGUCUGCAAUGCUGUUUUCCUCACAGAUCUUACUAAUUCUUCUUUUACUAAACCAGUCAACACCUCUACAUAUUCAUGUGCAAAUCUAUCCACUACAAACCAAUAAGUCUUGAAUUUAAUUUCUACUAUGACUGAACCUAACUCUUUUUCACAAGCCAUUUUGCACCCAGGAUGGCAGCAUGCUAUGGAAUCAGAAUUUCAAACUUUGAAAGACAAUAAAACUUAGGAUGUAGUUCAAUUGCCACAAGGAAGAAAGGUUUUUUCUUGUAAGUGGGUGUACAAGGUUAAGCAUAAUUCAGAUGGUAACAUAGAGAGAUUGAAGGCAAGGUUGGUUAUUAGAGGGGAUAUUCAAAGAGAGAGAAUUGAUUUCAAUGAAACCUUCUCCCCUGUAGUCAAACUGACUACAAUCAGGUGUAUACUGACAGUGGUAGCUAAGAAAUGAUGGCAAAUUUCACAACUAGAUGUGAACAAUGCCUUUUUUCAUGGUGAACUGCAGGAAGAGGUUUAAAUAAAAUUUCCUGAUGAAAUUCCUUCACCUGGUCCAAAUCAUGUUUGCAGACUCAAAAAAUCUCUAUAUGGGCUUCGAUAGGUAUCACGACAAUGGUAUGCAAGGUUAGCUCCAGCUUAAACUUUAAGGGUUUCAGUUCUUCUAUGAAUGAUUAUUCCCUUUUCUUUAAAAAGCUAGGAGACCUAAUUUCUAUUGUGGCAGUAUAUGUGGAUGACAUUGUUCUAACAGGAAACAGUCCAGAAGAGUUAUCUCAGUUAAAAGUUUUUUUAGAUUCAGAGUUCAAGAUCAAAAACCUAGGUAACUUGCACUAUUUUCUGGGAAUGGAAAUACUUAGAGAAUAACAUGGAAUGAUAGUGAGCCAAAGGAAAUUUACCUUGGAACUCUUAAGCAAGUUCAAUUGUGAUCACUUGCCUUUGGUUUCAUCGCCCCUUGACCCUUCUUGCAAAUUAAGUGCAGAAUCUGGAGAUAUACUGGCCGAUCCCACUUCAUAUCGCUGCUUACUUGGAAAGCUGAAUUAUUUAACUCACAUUAGGCCGGAUCUCUCUUUUGUGGUGCAUCAUCUGAGUCAAUACAUGCAACAACCAAAAAAUACUCAUUACUUGUUGCCUUGAGAGUAGUCAGAUAUCUACGUUCAAACCCAAGUCAAGGCCUCUUUUUCUCAGCAGCUCCCCUAUGUCUUUGCUUGCUUUUUCCGAUGCCAAUUGGGAGUCUUGUGUGGACUCUCAUUGUUCAAUCAGUGGUUAUUUUAUCAGUCUAGGCGGAUCUCUAAUUUUAUAAAAAUCUAAGAAGCAAGCAUCUGUAUUGCUCUCCUCAGCUGAGGCAGAGUAUCGUUCUAUGAAAAGAGUGGUAGCGGGGAUAACGUGGUUAACCCGUCUUCUCACUGAUCUGAAUGCUUCUCAUUCACUUCCGGUUCCGAUUCAUUCUGACAGUCAUGCUGCUAUACAUAUAGCUCGGAAUCUAGUGUUUUACGAGAGAACCAAGCAUGCAGAGUUAGAUUUCCACUUCGUUCGGUAACAAUUCCUUUCUGGGUUGAUUUCCCUUUCGUUCGUACUAUUUUCCUUUCAAUUGAUAGAUCUCUUCACAAAACCCUUAUCAGGACCAGCGUACCAUUCAAUCCUCGGCAAGUUGGGGGUCGCUUCUCUCUCCUCCAACUUGAGGGAGGGUGUUGGAAUUGAAAAAUAUAUACACAAAGUGUUGAAUUUGGUAGAACAAGAGAUGAGAGGAAAAGAGACGAAAGAAGAGAAAGUUC